GAUGGCUUUAGUCUGAGCCACAGCAGCCUGCCCCUCGGUCUGCCUUUUGCAUCUCAGGAAAAGCCCCACCCUCCCGUCCACCAGGGGCACUGGUUUCUGCACCAGCUGCCUUCCCAUCUCCAGUAAUGGCCUUUGCUUUGGAGGAGCCCACCCCUGUUGGAUGCAGAUGAAGAUGCCAAGGGGAGCCUGAUCGACUGUGGAGCCAUCAUGGAGGGAGGCAGAGCUGAGGGCUGGGGGAGGUCCAGGCUGCAUCAUAUGAGCCCCUGGAUCCAGCCACACCUGAAGUAGAAAUGGGGUUUCAUUAUGUUGACCAGGCUGGUCAUGAACUCCUGACCUCGUGAUCUGCCCACCUCGGCCUCCCAAAGUGCUGGGAUUACAGCCCAACUUCAGUCUUAUCAGCCUGGGAAAAUGUGGAGAGAAAUGAGGGGCUGUGGAGAGCCAGGUUCUGAGGCUGCGCCCGCUGCACCCCUCCCACCACAUAGGUGAGCCGAUGUUUAGGAAACGCUACUUCCAUCAAAGCCUUUGGUAACAUCCUCGUGCCCGCGGCACCCACGACCGGAGACCCGUCCCCAGAGUUUCUGUCUGCUCUGAUGAGCCCCCAGCUGCUCUCCCCCGACACCCCUGUGCUCAGCAAGACCCCAGCUCCUCUCUGAUAUUGGAUCCCGUCCCGCCUCCCCAGCUGCGCUCACCCCUGAAGCAGGAGCUUCGGAAUGUCCUGGGUUUCUUGUCUCCUCACAGAGCCCCAGGGUCCCUGAUAAAUGUCUGGCACCGGUGGUGCACCCGGUAACUGUUCACCCACUCCCAUAAAUACGCCGUUUACUGCUGAAUUAUAAAGGGUGUGGGAACAGAAGAGAGGUUUCAAAUCACUUCUCAUUCUUACGGUUUGAAUACAUUACACAGUGAUCUAAUUAGGCUUGUAUUUC
This is a long non-coding RNA of Symphalangus syndactylus (siamang), 923 nucleotides long. RefSeq lists it as uncharacterized. NCBI's taxonomy places the organism in Eukaryota, Metazoa, Chordata, Mammalia, Primates, Hylobatidae. The record is from RefSeq and is a predicted model, not a curated record.